CCCUCCCGGGGAGCCAUUGUUCCUGAGGCGGGCGGGGGCGCGGGCCGGGGUCGGGGAUCCUUCUGGCUGGUCAGACGGCGCCGAGGAUGCUGGAGAGCGCUCCGGGACUGUGUCUCAGAAGCCCUUUGUGAGCCUUUCCCACGCGCCUUCUAACCCUGCACGAGCUCAGGUGGUCUUUCGUGGGUUUUCCAGGUGGAGGUAAAGGCAAAAGGUGACUUGUCCAAGGUGGCUGAACAAGACACAACGAUGAAUAAAUGAAGACAUUCAUUACAGCUUUUGUGUAAUAGUAAAAUAUGGCUCCGUUGGUCAUCAGUGGGACUGAGAUGAGGAAGCAAAGUCCUAAUAAGGUUCAGUCCCUGAGGCUACAUCCGUAAGUUGAGUCGACUGCUUCGCGCCAGCCCUGAGGCCUCCCCACACCACAAACUCGGAGGAGGGAGUCAUCAUGUUCUGAUACAAGAUGGAGGAAAGAUUGGCACCAGCAGGGCGGCAACCAGACUCCUAGCAACAACUGAGAGAACCACUACAGUGCUGUGCUGACUGGAUGCUCUGUGGACAACAAGAUAGAAAGCGGCAGAGCUACAGAGUUCAGCAAAGGAAGCGAGUGAGAGAAAGAGAGCUGACAGUGCCCAGGUAAACGGUGUCUGCCAAGUGUUAGCUCGGCGUGGGAACCUGCAAAUCAACUCCAGACAGGUCCGGAACACCAGGAUAUAAUGUAUAGGGUCCAUGACCCCGGCCACAGUUGUCACCCAGCCUGGACUCAGCCUUCAAGUUUAUGUUCUAAUUUAGCUUCCUGGAAUGAUUUGCUCACAGGGGAAAAGUGUCAAUCAAGGGCAUGGAUUUGGCUCAUGUGGUAAUUACCUUUCUCACUCCGCACAGCACUCUUCGUUUCAGACAGUUUCUUAUGACUUUUAAUUAACAAGAGCCAGUCCCUGAGAGUUCGGUCUACUCUGGGGACACCAGCUUCAGUGUUCUGCAAGCUAAGCAGCCCGGUCCCUAGAGCACCUGUGCAGCCCUGGAGCACAGUGUGCCCUCUGCUGACUGCAGUGAGCUUCCAUAUAAAGAGGUCACUUCCUGUCUUAAAAGAGUCGGGGACUGUUGAAAACCCAUCUCUGAACAUUUAUUUGCACUUGGGGACACGACAUACCCCUUGAGGCCAACCUUCUGAAACUACAAGUUAUCAUUACAACUUUGAUUAUAGAGAGUCUCUUCUUGAUUCUUCAGAACUAUGUGUCUAUGUGUGAUGGUUUGCUCUUUUCCACGGGAGUAUGCUAAGAUUCAAGUUUUGUCCUUAGGAUUUCCCUAAAAUGCCACAAAUAGAAAUUUUGGAUCACAGUGAUUACCGUUGUUUAAAAAAUCAGUAUGAAUCUGAGUGAACGCUAACGGGUGUUUGCUUUAUUUAGUCUCUGUGCUUCUGAUGCACCACUUUUUUUUUUUUUUUUGCUUCUUUUUUUUCGGAGCUGGGGACCGAACCCAGGGCCUUGCCCUUCCUAGGCAAGCGCUCUACCACUGAGCUAAAUCCCCAGCCCCUGAUGCACCACUUUUUAACGGUGCUGUAUUGCCUUUUAAAGAUUCUUUAAUUUAUCUUCACGUGUGUGUCUAUAUGAGGCUAUGUGUAUGAGCAUGUGGGUCCGUAUACACCAGAAAGGGCACAGAUCCCCAGAGACGGAGUUACAGCCAGUUGUACACUGCCCAGUGUGGGUGCUGGGAACAGAACUCUGGUCCUCUGAGGAGUAGUAGCAAGUGCUUGGAACCACAGAGCCAUCUCUCCAGCCACUAAUCUGGACUUCUGUUUUUAAUUAGAAAUAGUUUACUCAUUUAGCAAGCAUGGCCUUUUGAGAGACUUAAUGUAGUACCUGACACAGCAGGCCCUCAAUAAUAACUUUUUUUUUUCUUUUUUUCGGAGCUGGGGACCGAACCCAGGGCCUUGCGCUUGCUAGGCAAGUGCUCUACCGCUGAGCUAAAUCCCCAACCCCAAUAAUAACUUUUUAAAAGACCGGGUUGAGUCAGUGAAUAUAAAUCUUCACAAAUUUCCUUUAAUAAAGUGGAGAUAGUUUGAGCUAAGCAACCGGAGUGCCUCAUGAAUGGCAUGAUACACAUGCAGCUCUUUAUGGUUGAGCAAUAACCGUAAAGAGAGACAGCACAAAACCACGUACUUCUGUUCUGGAUGCCCUAUGCAACACCCCAGCCCGAUACCGUCAUUUUUACGUUUCCUCACUAGUAACCAUUUUACAAUUCAAUCCCAAGCUGCUCCAGCCAGUGUAGCGCGCUGUGUGCGUGCGUGCGGGG
RNAcentral lists this small RNA (2286 nucleotides) under Rattus norvegicus (Norway rat). RNAcentral describes it as "uncharacterized LOC108350968". Lineage: Eukaryota; Metazoa; Chordata; Mammalia; Rodentia; Muridae. The record is from RNAcentral.